Molecule: ribosomal RNA, 2676 nt
Filed under: Escherichia coli
Lineage: Bacteria; Pseudomonadati; Pseudomonadota; Gammaproteobacteria; Enterobacterales; Enterobacteriaceae
Description: partial 23S ribosomal RNA
Rfam family: Bacterial large subunit ribosomal RNA
Source: RNAcentral
GGUUAAGCGACUAAGCGUACACGGUGGAUGCCCUGGCAGUCAGAGGCGAUGAAGGACGUGCUAAUCUGCGAUAAGCGUCGGUAAGGUGAUAUGAACCGUUAUAACCGGCGAUUUCCGAAUGGGGAAACCCAGUGUGAUUCGUCACACUAUCAUUAACUGAAUCCAUAGGUUAAUGAGGCGAACCGGGGGAACUGAAACAUCUAAGUACCCCGAGGAAAAGAAAUCAACCGAGAUUCCCCCAGUAGCGGCGAGCGAACGGGGAGCAGCCCAGAGCCUGAAUCAGUGUGUGUGUUAGUGGAAGCGUCUGGAAAGGCGCGCGAUACAGGGUGACAGCCCCGUACACAAAAAUGCACAUACUGUGAGCUCGAUGAGUAGGGCGGGACACGUGGUAUCCUGUCUGAAUAUGGGGGGACCAUCCUCCAAGGCUAAAUACUCCUGACUGACCGAUAGUGAACCAGUACCGUGAGGGAAAGGCGAAAAGAACCCCGGCGAGGGGAGUGAAAAAGAACCUGAAACCGUGUACGUACAAGCAGUGGGAGCCUCUUAAUGGGGUGACUGCGUACCUUUUGUAUAAUGGGUCAGCGACUUAUAUUCUGUAGCAAGGUUAACCGAAUAGGGGAGCCGAAGGGAAACCGAGUCUUAACUGGGCGUUAAGUUGCAGGGUAUAGACCCGAAACCCGGUGAUCUAGCCAUGGGCAGGUUGAAGGUUGGGUAACACUAACUGGAGGACCGAACCGACUAAUGUUGAAAAAUUAGCGGAUGACUUGUGGCUGGGGGUGAAAGGCCAAUCAAACCGGGAGAUAGCUGGUUCUCCCCGAAAGCUAUUUAGGUAGCGCCUCGUGAAUUCAUCUCCGGGGGUAGAGCACUGUUUCGGCAAGGGGGUCAUCCCGACUUACCAACCCGAUGCAAACUGCGAAUACCGGAGAAUGUUAUCACGGGAGACACACGGCGGGUGCUAACGUCCGUCGUGAAGAGGGAAACAACCCAGACCGCCAGCUAAGGUCCCAAAGUCAUGGUUAAGUGGGAAACGAUGUGGGAAGGCCCAGACAGCCAGGAUGUUGGCUUAGAAGCAGCCAUCAUUUAAAGAAAGCGUAAUAGCUCACUGGUCGAGUCGGCCUGCGCGGAAGAUGUAACGGGGCUAAACCAUGCACCGAAGCUGCGGCAGCGACACUAUGUGUUGUUGGGUAGGGGAGCGUUCUGUAAGCCUGUGAAGGUGUACUGUGAGGUAUGCUGGAGGUAUCAGAAGUGCGAAUGCUGACAUAAGUAACGAUAAAGCGGGUGAAAAGCCCGCUCGCCGGAAGACCAAGGGUUCCUGUCCAACGUUAAUCGGGGCAGGGUGAGUCGACCCCUAAGGCGAGGCCGAAAGGCGUAGUCGAUGGGAAACAGGUUAAUAUUCCUGUACUUGGUGUUACUGCGAAGGGGGGACGGAGAAGGCUAUGUUGGCCGGGCGACGGUUGUCCCGGUUUAAGCGUGUAGGCUGGUUUUCCAGGCAAAUCCGGAAAAUCAAGGCUGAGGCGUGAUGACGAGGCACUACGGUGCUGAAGCAACAAAUGCCCUGCUUCCAGGAAAAGCCUCUAAGCAUCAGGUAACNNNNNNNNNNNNNNNNNNUGGAGCUGAAAUCAGUCGAAGAUACCAGCUGGCUGCAACUGUUUAUUAAAAACACAGCACUGUGCAAACACGAAAGUGGACGUAUACGGUGUGACGCCUGCCCGGUGCCGGAAGGUUAAUUGAUGGGGUUAGCGGUAACGCGAAGCUCUUGAUCGAAGCCCCGGUAAACGGCGGCCGUAACUAUAACGGUCCUAAGGUAGCGAAAUUCCUUGUCGGGUAAGUUCCGACCUGCACGAAUGGCGUAAUGAUGGCCAGGCUGUCUCCACCCGAGACUCAGUGAAAUUGAACUCGCUGUGAAGAUGCAGUGUACCCGCGGCAAGACGGAAAGACCCCGUGAACCUUUACUAUAGCUUGACACUGAACAUUGAGCCUUGAUGUGUAGGAUAGGUGGGAGGCUUUGAAGUGUGGACGCCAGUCUGCAUGGAGCCGGCCUUGAAAUACCACCCUUUAAUGUUUGAUGUUCUAACGUUGGCCCCUGAUCGGGGUUGCGGACAGUGUCUGGUGGGUAGUUUGACUGGGGCGGUCUCCUCCUAAAGAGUAACGGAGGAGCACGAAGGUUGGCUAAUCCUGGUCGGACAUCAGGAGGUUAGUGCAAUGGCAUAAGCCAGCUUGACUGCGAGCGUGACGGCGCGAGCAGGUGCGAAAGCAGGUCAUAGUGAUCCGGUGGUUCUGAAUGGAAGGGCCAUCGCUCAACGGAUAAAAGGUACUCCGGGGAUAACAGGCUGAUACCGCCCAAGAGUUCAUAUCGACGGCGGUGUUUGGCACCUCGAUGUCGGCUCAUCACAUCCUGGGGCUGAAGUAGGUCCCAAGGGUAUGGCUGUUCGCCAUUUAAAGUGGUACGCGAGCUGGGUUUAGAACGUCGUGAGACAGUUCGGUCCCUAUCUGCCGUGGGCGCUGGAGAACUGAGGGGGGCUGCUCCUAGUACGAGAGGACCGGAGUGGACGCAUCACUGGUGUUCGGGUUGUCAUGCCAAUGGCACUGCCCGGUAGCUAAAUGCGGAAGAGAUAAGUGCUGAAAGCAUCUAAGCACGAAACUUGCCCCGAGAUGAGUUCUCCCUGACUCCUUGAG